AUCCUAUUUCUAAUUUUAUUUCUUGUCUCCUUCUUAUAGAGCCUUUGUUUUGUCUAUUUCUUCUAUUUCUAUGCCACAGGGUUGGAAGGAAACAUGUCUUGAUCCAAAAUGGGAAGCAACUAUGGUAGAGGAGAUAAGAGCUUUGACAAAAAAUGAGACAUGGGAUAUUGUUUCUCUUCCAUCUGGGAAGAAACUAGUGGGAUGCAAGUGGGUGUUCACAGUUAAACGUAAUGUAGAUAGUUCUAUUGAAAGGUAUAAGGUCAGGUUAGUAGCUAAAGGCUUCACUUAGACAUAGGAAGUGGAUUAUUAUGAGACUUUCCCUUAUUACAAAAAUGAAUACCAUUAGAAUCUUGUUGUCAUGUGCAGCAAAUCUUUAGUGGGACUUACAGUAAUUUGAUGUAAAGAAUGCUUUUUUGCAUGGAGACUUAGAGGAGGAAGUGUACAUGGAGAUUCCUCUUGGAUUUGAUGAUGAUAAAAUCAAAGGAAAAGUUUGUAGAUUGAAAAAGGCAUUAUAUGGUCAGAAGCAGUCACCUAGAGCAUGGUUUGAU
Molecule: unclassified non-coding RNA, 548 nt
Filed under: Hevea brasiliensis (rubber tree)
Lineage: Eukaryota; Viridiplantae; Streptophyta; Magnoliopsida; Malpighiales; Euphorbiaceae
Source: RNAcentral